This 30-nucleotide non-coding RNA is filed under the name Mus musculus (house mouse). Lineage: Eukaryota; Metazoa; Chordata; Mammalia; Rodentia; Muridae. The record is from RNAcentral.
UAGGUGUGUGACCAAUUUCCUAAGAGAAUC